UACGUAGGGUGCGAGCGUUAAUCGGAAUUACUGGGCGUAAAGCGUGCGCAGGCGGUUGUGCAAGACAGAUGUGAAAUCCCCGGGCUUAACCUGGGAACUGCAUUUGUGACUGCACAGCUGGAGUGCGGCAGAUGGGGAUGGAAUUCCGCGUGUAGCAGUGAAAUGCGUAGAUAUGCGGAGGAACACCGAUGGCGAAGGCAAUCCCCUGGGCCUGCACUGACGCUCAUGCACGAAAGCGUGGGGAGCAAACAGG
RNAcentral lists this ribosomal RNA (253 nucleotides) under uncultured bacterium. RNAcentral's name for it is "partial 16S ribosomal RNA". It matches the Rfam family "Bacterial small subunit ribosomal RNA", at positions 524 to 776 of the family's 1533-position model. The record is from RNAcentral.